Molecule: small nucleolar RNA, 87 nt
Organism: Bactrocera oleae (olive fruit fly)
Lineage: Eukaryota; Metazoa; Arthropoda; Insecta; Diptera; Tephritidae
Source: RefSeq, a predicted model, not a curated record
AUUAUUAAUAUGAUGACAAUUUCAUACCCACAACUGAGCUAAAAUGCUGAAUUUUUAUACACAUGCACUACCAUCUGAAUUGUAAUU